AAAAUAGUUGGUGAUACAUGGCAGGUCUAUUUAGAUUAAAAAUCUGCUUUUGUUGCCCACUUCUGAGAUGGGAGACAGUUUUGCUGAAGUCUGCAAUUUUCUCUUCAAAUAUAAAAACGCUGCAAAAAAUGACGUGUAAAAUUCUGCAUGUUUAAGGAUAGCCAAUUAAAGGGAAUCUCUUGAGGACUGAGAGUAAAAUGAGUCGGGAAUUCAAAGUAAACUGACAGUAACAAGAGGACAUCUAUUCUGUUUUGUAAAUAUACUGGAAGAGAUUAAUAAGACAUGUAAAGAGAGGAGGUAAAGAGAGGACAGAGCAGUCCAAGGGCCACAUGAGGUAGUCUGCAUCAGUGCAGUACUCCCAUCCAGGGCUUGAAACUGCUGCCCCCUAGUGGUGAUAGUGGAAAGUCAAAGAUGAGACAUGAUGAAUGGUGUAGAUAAAAUUAAGAGCAGUCGUUUUCACCACAGGGCAGGAUUCGCACAUUCACGUCUGAAAUCAGUAUAUUAAAUGUACUGGAUAUUGUUCAGGAUACGAUCACAUCCUGAUAGGAGAACAAUAUACAGGACCUCCCUACUAUACGACUGUAAAACAGGGUACACUCAUUCCUUGUUGGGUCCUGUUCAGUUCUGCUAUUUAAAUGCUAAAGUUGGCCAGAUUUUCCUAGCUUAUUCACGUGGGAAUAUGGUCCUGUAAGGAUGGGUAGGUGGGUUUUCCUAGAAGUGAAGAGAAUUCACCCAGUAACUGAAACCUUGCUGGUUCUAACCCUGAAGCCUAAAAUGUGACCAUGAGCACGACAUUUAACCCUAACCAGGUCAUUAAAGUAACAAUAAAAAAAAACGAGAGAGGCAUGUAUGACACAUCCAAUCUCUGUUAUACAUGAACAUUGCUCUUCAGUGAGAAAUAAAGAAGAAAGUUUUCAUUUCUGGUUGGUUAGAGGGUUUGGCUUGCCUCUGGCCUUGGCAGGCCAGACAAUCGCACUGCUGCAGUGUGUGUGUGUGUGGGUGUGUGUGAGUGUACUCUGUCUCACCUCAGCACACCCGGAGAGUCCUUGUGUGAAGACCUUGGCGAGUGCAAAAGCAUGGGUCUCAAUCUGGGAGAGAGAGAGAGAAAGAGGCCCUGAACCGAUAAGGAACUUUUCAGCGGGUCGGAACAAGCUGUCCCAACUCUCCCUCCUUUUUCUCUGUGCUGUUGACGUCUAAGAGGAAGAUAGCAGAUUAUUAUGUAGCCAGUCCAACCUGGGUUACAACGGCCAACGAACUGCAGCCAAUCAACCUCAGAUGAGGCACACCGGGUCUGUCGCACUUGUUGCUGGCAACUUUAACGUGGGUGUUUUUAGGGGGCAGCUCCGCAGGUGCAAAAUCAAGGAGGGGGCAUAAGUGCUGACGGAGCUCAGGAAACUGCUACUGUGUCUUUCUCAAACAUCUUCAAGGUCACUGGGGAGUGAUAAAUGCCCCAUGAGAAGGUGUUUGCUUUGGGGAGAAGGCUCAGCAGCUACACAGGGUCCUCACAUCAGCUGGUCGGAGAGGGGUAUCUUCACUCGCUGUUCCUUUUUCCUAUGCAUAUACCUCUUUGAGAUCUAGCUUUAAAGAGGCAUAGGGCAUGGGAAAAUGGGGCUGCAGAGGUAUUUCACUGACUAUCCCUGGUCAACCACCUCAGCCCAAAGUAAUCCCAGCUCCCCCCAUCUUUAACCUGGAGGACUCCCGAAAACCAGAUCACACCACUAGGAAUUCAGUGGAGCCUCCAUGUCAUAAUGACCUAAGAAAAAUCGAUUUUGCAGUGCCCUGAAACAAUCGGUAAUCAUCGUCUGAUAGUUUCUAUAGUUUGUGCUUUGACUAUGGUGUAGUUCAUUUUGUCCAAUAACUUUUGUGUUGUCGACUUCCAAUUGCUUAAUAAAUAAAAAUCUGUUUUUUUUGUCCAUUUUGUAUGUGUAUAGAUCUGUCAGUUGUUCAGUAACUAAGUGUGUAAAAAAUCUAGAAUAAAAGAAUCAAUAAUUGAUUGGAACAUUUUUCCUUUUUUAUAUAUAGGCAACAUAUCCCAAAUUGAAUAACCAUGAAUACUUAGAGAGGAAUCAGUUUAUCUGAUUCAGGUAAUACACUUACAUUGAUUUAUAUAAUAGAUUAGCCUUUCUAGAUAUCCGUUGAGCAAGGGCUAAAUUAAUUCAAACAUGCAUUGGAAUAUUUACACAGUAGCUCUUUUUCCAAUGGUCAAAUUAACUCACCCAAAGGUCCAGGGUACAGUAUAAAAGCCUACAACUACCACCAGGGCGAUCGCUCUCAUAGGAAUGCUAUGACUUUAGAAUUAUGAGUGUGUUGGCAGGGAAUGAAUACUAUAAAUAAAGACACUG
Esox lucius (northern pike) is the source of this 2342-nucleotide long non-coding RNA. The record is from Ensembl. NCBI's taxonomy places the organism in Eukaryota, Metazoa, Chordata, Actinopteri, Esociformes, Esocidae.